UUAGAGUUUGAUCWUGGYUCAGGACGAACGCUGGCGGCGUGCCUAAUACAKGCAAGUCGAACGAACUCUGGUAUUGAUUGGUGCUUGCAUCAUGAUUUACAUUUGAGUGAGUGGCGAACUGGUGAGUAACACGUGGGAAACCUGCCCAGAAGCGGGGGAUAACACCUGGAAACAGAUGCUAAUACCGCAUAACAACUUGGACCGCAUGGUCCGAGUUUGAAAGAUGGCUUCGGCUAUCACUUUUGGAUGGUCCCGCGGCGUAUUAGCUAGAUGGUGRGGUAACGGCUCACCAUGGCAAUGAUACGUAGCCGACCUGAGAGGGUAAUCGGCCACAUUGGGACUGAGACACGGCCCAAACUCCUACGGGAGGCAGCAGUAGGGAAUCUUCCACAAUGGACGAAAGUCUGAUGGAGCAACGCCGCGUGAGUGAAGAAGGGUUUCGGCUCGUAAAACUCUGUUGUUAAAGAAGAACAUAUCUGAGAGUAACUGUUCAGGUAUUGACGGUAUUUAACCAGAAAGCCACGGCUAACUACGUGCCAGCAGCCGCGGUAAUACGUAGGUGGCAAGCGUUGUCCGGAUUUAUUGGGCGUAAAGCGAGCGCAGGCGGUUUUUUAAGUCUGAUGUGAAAGCCUUCGGCUCAACCGAAGAAGUGCAUCGGAAACUGGGAAACUUGAGUGCAGAAGAGGACAGUGGAACUCCAUGUGUAGCGGUGAAAUGCGUAGAUAUAKGAAGAACACCAGUGGCGAAGGCGGCUGUCKGUCUGUAACKACGCKAGGYCGAACGA
RNAcentral lists this ribosomal RNA (784 nucleotides) under bacterium. Its description in RNAcentral is "bacterial SSU rRNA". The record is from RNAcentral.